Haliotis rubra (blacklip abalone) is the source of this 128-nucleotide long non-coding RNA. RefSeq lists it as uncharacterized. The transcript is spliced from 3 exons. Lineage: Eukaryota; Metazoa; Mollusca; Gastropoda; Lepetellida; Haliotidae. The record is from RefSeq and is a predicted model, not a curated record.
CAACUCAAUGUCAAACUUUAAUUGUUUCUUCUCUAAUUAACCUACAUGCCCUGUGAUAAAUAUUCAAUAAACAAUGAAUUAACUAGCAGCCAGCACAAUGUUUUGACAAGCAGGUCGGAUGAGCACAC